UACGAAGGGGGCUAGCGUUGUUCGGAAUUACUGGGCGUAAAGCGCGCGUAGGCGGUGAUCUUUGUCAGGGGUGAAAUCCCGGGGCUCAACCCCGGAACUGCCUUUGAUACUGGGUAUCUCGAGUCCGAGAGAGGUGAGUGGAAUUCCGAGUGUAGAGGUGAAAUUCGUAGAUAUUCGGAGGAACACCAGUGGCGAAGGCGGCUCACUGGCUCGGUACUGACGCUGAGGUGCGAAAGCGUGGGGAGCAAACAGG
Molecule: ribosomal RNA, 253 nt
Filed under: uncultured bacterium
Lineage: Bacteria
Description: partial 16S ribosomal RNA
Rfam family: Bacterial small subunit ribosomal RNA
Source: RNAcentral